UGUUUUGCUUGAUUUUGUAUUUCAAUUUAGGGUUUGGAAGGAUCAAUUCUGUAGUUGCAGGAGCAGCAUACCGGAGACGGCGGAGAGUCGACUUCUAGCUUUCGUUGAUUCCCGAAAUUGUAGCAGAAGUAUUUUGUUUCCAUGUCUCAGAGGUUUAGCUUAUAAUGCUAUUAUUGUUUGAUUUUCGUCGAAAUGUAUUGUUCCAUUUCAUUUAUUUUUUUCCCCGAUCGGUGUUCGUUUUUAGUUAUUUUGCUGGCGAAACAACUUUGAAAAUGUUGAAUACAGCAAUAGGCUAAAUGCAUAAUUGAAGUCACGGACAAUUUUUUUUCAGAUUGAAGUCCACUUAGAGCUAAAUGCAUGUUGAAGUUUCAAAUAGCUGACCCAAAAUUUCUCUGUUGAGAUGUAAUUGUUGUUGUUGUUAUCGGUUUUAAUCAAUUGUUUGUUACUCAUUUUUUCCUUUUCAACGGGGGAUUAAUACUCUGGGUAUAUAAAUUAUAUGAUCGUACUGGUUCAGACUUCAGAGUUAUUACAAAAUCUAAUGUACCUCUACCUCCUUGAAUUGCCUUUAUCUACUCGUAUUAACAUAAAGUAUAUUGUUGAAUUUUCUUUGGCAAUCUGCCUACAACGAUUUUUAACCAUUUAUAUGCAAAGCAGUAGUAUCUUGUUAAUAAGAGCAAGUGCUGAUCUGUCGCUAAUAUAGAUAGAGUGUACAUUCCAUUCAUGAUUUGAAGCUGCACGAUAGUGCUGGUUUCUACUUAGGCAGUGACAUUGUUAUCCUUUACAUUGGCAUUGCUGCUUUGCAAAUUAUAUUGCUAUAGAAAUACAUAUGGCCCAACUAUAUUGCUCUAUGAUUUGCUACAGAGCAUGAACAUCCAUCCGUGCUUGAGCAUUUGCAGUUAUUGGUGCUGGAGUCUUUGGGCUCCGUAGCUUUGCAACCAUUGCUUAUUCUGAUGAGCAUGAAGAAGGUCCAGUUAUCCAUGGCCUCAUGAAGGUAUUCUCAGUUUUUAUGACCAUGUUUCCGUAGUUAUUGUGUGCUACAAUGUGAUAAUGCUUGUUGGUUGUUAACUUCAAUUUUUAUUUAUUGAGAUUCAGUUGAGCUAGUUCUUCAGCAUUAUUUUCCACAGACCAAUUUAUUUGCAUAAAACUAAAUCAGUAAUUAUGCAUACUGCUUAAUCUUUUUCAAUCAAUCCAUAGAAGAAAUAUCAAGCUUUUGUUUUUAAGUUAAAUGGACCUCCGUAAGUGUAAUAGGAUUCGUCAAGGUCACCAAGAGUGUUUAUCUUGCCACUCGAUGUCACUAAUUUCUAUUUUGAUCUUGUUGGAAUGACAUACAUAGAGGAAUUGAGGAAGAAACUAAAGCCAUGGAGGCAGAAAUUGAGGUGGUCGAUGAGCCUAAUGAUGAAGGUUAGAUGUUCACUCGGCCAGAAAACUGAAUGAUCAACUUCCACAGCUUUAUGCUAACAAAGCAGCUGCCGGCUUUGAUAAUGGAUGAUCCUAUCCUCCUGAGUCCUGAUCUAUGUCUUAUGACUACGGUAAUCUUUUAAAAGAAGUCCUUCAAUUUCCCUCUCAGUGAAUGGUUGGACCACAGCAAGUGAGUUUCAGUUUCAGAUGACUGAACAAAUCAAUAAGAAAAGAAUUUGGAUUAAAUUGUAUUAUCAUAUAAGAUGCUCAGACUAGAAUAGCAAUUUAGAAUGGAUAGAGAGUAAAGAAAACUCUGUGCGCUCCUAGCUUAAUUUUUAACAGUGCAUUGAUAAGUAUGUGUGGCAAUGAUUUGUUUAGAUUUAUCUCCUCUCGGAGUGUAUGAUAGAGUUUGGAUUACCUAUAUAUCAAAAAAAUAAAGA
This 1838-nucleotide long non-coding RNA is filed under the name Capsicum annuum. Its description in RNAcentral is "long non-coding RNA (CANN_LNC003928)". The record is from RNAcentral. Lineage: Eukaryota; Viridiplantae; Streptophyta; Magnoliopsida; Solanales; Solanaceae.